GCACUGAUUGCCCGCGCCGGCCGAUCGGGCCUCAGGGGAGGGACGAGGCUGAGAGAGGGGACCCUCCAACUCCGGCCCUUCCAGGGGCGCCGGGGGACCGAAGAGAGAUUUGGGAAGGAGGGCUCUCUGGCGAGCUGGGAGGCUGUGACCUGGCCACAGGCGGCGGUCGCGGCGCGGAGGGCGCCCGAGGGUGUCCCAGGGGCCCUGGGAAGCGUUCUGGGCUCCCGCGUCUCUGCACCGUUGCAUCUCAAAGCGGGAGGACACAGUUCCGCGCCUAUGCCCAAGUGGAGGCAACUCGGUGCGCUCGAAUCCCGUGUGUGUGUGUGUGUGUGUGUGUGUGUGUGUGUGUGUGUGUGUGUGUAGAUCACUAAAUCCAGCUCUGCUUUAACCUGCACUCACUCCAUCGUGCACACGGCCUGUGCAUGCCACGUGUAUCCAGGCUCCUGUUUGCCUCUGUCUACCUAAAACUUCCUUUGCUGGCUGUUUUGUUAGUAAGGCUUUGCAUUUUUAACAAGCUCCUAUGUGCUGGGGGUGCUGCUGGUCCCAGAACUACACUCUCGAGUAGUGAGAGCUUAUCGGGGAGAUUCUUUUUAUUUUUUUGAGACAGGGUCUCCCUCUGUGGCUGAGGCCAGAGUGGAGUGGAGCAAUCAGGCUCACUGCCUCGACUUCCCCAGCUCAAGUGAUCCUUUCUGCCUCAGCCUCCUGAGUAGCUAGGACUACAGGCGUGAGCCAUCCAUCAUGCCCAGCUAAUUUUUUAAUUUUUUGUAAAGACUAGGUCUUACUACGUUGCCCAGGCUGGUCUGGAACUCCUGGUCUCAAGCGAUCCGCCUGCCUUGGCCUCCCAAAGUGCUGUAAUUACAGAUGAGAUUCUUUUUUUUUUUUUUUGAGACGCAGUCUCGCACUGUCGCCCAGGCUGGAGUGCAGUGCCACGAUCUCGGCUCACUGCAAGCUCUGCCUCCCGGGUUCACACCAUUCUCCUGCCUCAGCCUCCUGAGUAGCUGGGACUACAGGCGCCCGCCACCACGCCCGGCCAAUUUUUUUGUAUUUUUAGUAGAGAUGGGGUUUCACCAUGUUAUCCGGAAUAGUCUCGAUCUCCUGACCCCGUGAUCUGCCUGCCUCGGCCUCCCAAAGUGCUGGGAUUACAGGCGUGAGCCACCGCACCCCGCCGAGAUUCAUUCUUAAGUGCACCAAAUUUUGAGAAAUAUUGAUCCAGGUGCAAGGCUGCCAGGUCAGGCCAGUAUCCCCUCAGUGGGGUUGGGUUUGGAAGUCAUCUUAGUGGAGGGGUGGAAACACAAUUGUGCCUAUCUUCCCCAGCCAUGCAGGGAUCUGCCUUCCUGUGGAAUGAUCUCCAAUGAUCUUCAAGUAUCUCCUGCAGACCCAGUUCUCUUGCUAAAUAAGUCACUGGAAGAUAAUUCCUGGACACACCUUGGACAGCUCCCCACAUUUCUCUAUUUGGAGCUUUGGGGUGGUAGGAAAUUGAUGCCCUCAGAAAGGACACCCCCAACCAGCAAGAAACCAGAGUUGGUGGAAAACAUCAUUUCUUCACUCUCGAUGGGACAACCUGAAGGCAUGUUCUAGUCAAUACUCCUUCUCACAGGUCCCCAACAAGAGUUAGAGACAGAGUCUCGCUCUGUUGUUCAGGCUGGAGUGCAGUGGCGCCAUCAUGGCUCACUGCAGCCUUGAACUCCUGGGCUCAAGCAAUUCUCCCACCCGAGUAGCUGGAGUAUAGGUUCUCACCAACACGCACAGCUCUUUAUCUUUGACUUUCUGUUUCAUUUCUCUAUUCCCUCAUUAUGCUUCCUGGGAUCAUUUCACAGAUAAGCUACUUGCUCCCAAAUCCUUGUCUCAGGGGCAGUCAACAGAGACAGUGGCAGAGGACCAUGGGAGAGCUAGAAUUUCAGGUCUCCAGACUCCUAGUCCAGUGCUCUUUCCAGGGUUUCUCAACCUUGGCACUAUUAACAUUUUGGACUGGAUAAUGCAUUGCUAGGGAGGGUUGACCUAUGCACCGUAGGAUGUUUAGUAGCAUCCCUGACCUUUGUCCACUAAAUGCCACUAGCAUCCUCCAGUUGGGAACAGUCAAAACUGUUUUCUGCUUUAUCAGAAGUUCCCCGGGGCAAAACACUGUGGUUGCAAACCACUAUUCCACAUCAGGCCAUCUCCCUUGCCAGGUCCAGAGAAAGAAUUUCAAGCCCCAAGAUUCCUUUCCCCUCCCUGUUGCUCUUUAGAUCACAUAAAUGAAACCAC
This 2244-nucleotide long non-coding RNA is filed under the name Homo sapiens (human). Its description in RNAcentral is "HSALNT0290764". Lineage: Eukaryota; Metazoa; Chordata; Mammalia; Primates; Hominidae. The record is from RNAcentral.